ACGCUCGACACCUACGGGAGCAGCAGUGGGGAAUAUUGCACAAUGGGGGAAACCCUGAUGCAGCGACGCCGCGUGAGUGAAGAAGUAUUUCGGUAUGUAAAGCUCUAUCAGCAGGGAAGAAGAUGACGGUACCUGAGUAAGAAGCCCCGGCUAACUACGCGCCAGCAGCCGCGGUAAUCUGAGCGGGCUGGCAAGGC
RNAcentral lists this ribosomal RNA (197 nucleotides) under uncultured bacterium. RNAcentral's name for it is "partial 16S ribosomal RNA". It matches the Rfam family "Bacterial small subunit ribosomal RNA", at positions 328 to 539 of the family's 1533-position model. The record is from RNAcentral.